CCCGUGGCAUCAAGUGUGGCUGCCUCAAGGCGACCAGGCCCCAGUGUGUGUGUCCCUGUGUUACUGAGUGUGUGUACGUAUUAGCUGCUGAGCCCCGUCGAACUUUUGAUCCCCGUAUAUAAGUUUUCGAACUCGCUUCGAGUAUAAUCUUUUCUUCGCGAACUUUUCGUCUACGAACUAACAAGCCGAUUGCAGCAACGGUCGUUGCGCGUUUUUAAGUGUUGUUGACCGGAGGAGUCGAGAGUGGCAGCGCCUCCCUGUCAGGCUCCCUAGGGCGAGGGGGUCGACCUGACACCGCUGCCCUAGACAGGUGAUGCUCUCGCUCUGCUUCGGUCUUCAGGCAGUAGCACGUUGGGCCGCUCUCAGAUUCGCUCAGCGCCCUUACUAUGGUACAGUGGAAUGUAACUGUUGCAGAGAGUCUUCAAUCGAAAAAGGU
This is a long non-coding RNA of Macrobrachium nipponense, 436 nucleotides long. RefSeq lists it as uncharacterized. The transcript is spliced from 3 exons. NCBI's taxonomy places the organism in Eukaryota, Metazoa, Arthropoda, Malacostraca, Decapoda, Palaemonidae. The record is from RefSeq and is a predicted model, not a curated record.